UUUGUCAUCCACAUGAUCUCUCAUUCUCUUCCUCAAAAUCCGACAUUCAAAUUCACUGUAUAAACAAAUUCGAAAACUUUCUCUCUGCUUUGGUUAGAUUCCUUCGCAAACUGAAGAAUUAGCAAAACUGUAGCGAAGUUGUUUUGCAUUGUUUAUGGGUUUUUAGUAAUAAUCGAACUCCAAAGAACACUUCCAACCUCAAGGCUUACCGAAGAUUAUGACUCAAACUCAUAUUGUAAUCAAAGCAUUCGUGUUAGAAAGACAGCUAAAAUGAUGAAACUAGUUUCUCUCUGUGACAUUAGUAAUGGGUUUGUGCCCAAAACGUCAACUGAUUUGUUUGUGAAACCAAGAAUCAGAAAGCUUCCCAGAGGAGAUAUAAUCACAAGGCUACGGGUGUUUGAUUCGAAUGCACGGGAGAAUCUGAAUGCUAAAAGAACAAGAAUAAACUUUAGUGUUGGGCCAGUCUUUUGCAAGACUUAUGAAGAAGAGGAAAUUCCCAAAGCAAAAUUGAUAUGGAGAGCAAUCAAACUACCCAUUUACUCUGUCGCUUUGGUUCCUCUCACCGUUGGUGCUUCAGCGGCCUAUUUGGAGACUGGUUUAGUCCUAGUUAGACGUUAUGCUACUCUAAUGCUCUCAUCAGUACUUAUCAUUACUUGGCUCAACUUAAGCAAUGAUGUUUAUGAUUUUGAUACCGGAGCUGAUAAGAACAAAAGGGAAUCCGUAGUGAAUAUGGUUGGAAGCCGGGCAGGAACCUUUGCAGCUGCAAUCACAACUCUUGUGCUCGGUGUUUCUGGUUUAAUUUGGAUAUCUUGGACAGCAAGUAAUAUCCGUGCAAUACUAUUGCUUGCCUCAGCUAUAUUAUGCGGCUAUAUAUACCAGUGUCCGCCAUUUCGGUUAAGUUACCAAGGAUUAGGAGAGCCUCUAUGCUUUGCAGCAUUUGGUCCAUUUGCAACUACUGCCUUUUAUUUACUUCUUGGUGGUGGCUCAAGCGAGAUGAGGCAUCUUCCAUUGAGCAGUAGGGUUCUUUCAUCGUCUCUCCUUGUUGGUUUUACCACAUCUCUCAUCCUUUUCUGCAGCCAUUUUCAUCAGGUUGAAGGAGAUUUAGCUGUGGGGAAAUUUUCACCUCUGUGUUUUACACAGGUCCGGUUAGGGACUGAAAAAGGAGCUUUUGUUGUGAGAUGGGCUAUUCGUUUGCUCUAUUUUAUGCUUCUUGUUCUUGGUUUAACCAAGAUUUUGCCAGUAACUUGCACAUUACUGUGUUUUCUGACAUUGCCAGUUGGGAAUUUAGUGUCAAGCUAUGUCGAAAACCACCACAAGGAGGAUGAGAAGAUAUUCAUGGCUAAGUAUUAUUGUGUAAGACUCCACGCUUUCUUUGGAGCUGCUUUGUCGUUGGGACUCGUUAUCGCUCGCUAGAUUUCACUUCGUUGUGUGUCUUUUGCCUUGUGUUGCAUCUCAAAUUGUUUAUUUCAUUUUUAUGCUAAAAUCAAACAGUUUUUAAAACUAGAAAGAUAUUCGUUAAUUAACACACACCUGGUUUGUUUGUUUCUCUCUUUAUAAAAGGGUCUUCAUUUUGGGUU
This is an RNA transcript of Brassica rapa (field mustard), 1577 nucleotides long. It is a transcript of the gene named 2-carboxy-1,4-naphthoquinone phytyltransferase, chloroplastic, with no coding region annotated. NCBI's taxonomy places the organism in Eukaryota, Viridiplantae, Streptophyta, Magnoliopsida, Brassicales, Brassicaceae. The record is from RefSeq and is a predicted model, not a curated record.